Molecule: ribosomal RNA, 1243 nt
Filed under: human gut metagenome
Description: bacterial LSU rRNA
Rfam family: Bacterial large subunit ribosomal RNA
Source: RNAcentral
AGGGCGUAUGAAGUUGCAGGUAUUAGACCCGAAACCGGGUGACCUAUCCAUGAGCAGGCUGAAGCGGUGGUAAGACACCGUGGAGGGCCGCACCCACGUCUGUUGAAAAAGCCGGGGAUGACUUGUGGAUAGCGGAGAAAUUCCAAUCGAACUCGGAGAUAGCUGGUUCUCCCCGAAAUAGCUUUAGGGCUAGCGUUAUUUUAGAUUACCGGAGGUAAAGCACUGAAUGGUCUAGGGGCCGCGAGGUUACCAAAGCCUAUCAAACUCUGAAUGCCGGAUAAUUGAUGAAUAGCAGUCAGACUGUGUGAGAUAAGUCUCAUAGUCAAAAGGGAAACAGCCCAGAUCUACAGCUAAGGUCCCAAAUGAACACUAAGUGGAAAAUGAUGUGAAACUGCGAAGACAACCAGGAUGUUGGCUUAGAAGCAGCCACUCAUUCAAAGAGUGCGUAAUAGCUCACUGGUCGAGUGGUUUUGCGCAGAAAAUGUAACGGGGCUAAGUGUUCAACCGAAGCUUAGGCAUUGCAGUAAUGCAUUGGGUAGGGGAGCGUCGUAUGCGGGGCGAAGUCAGAGCGGAAGCACUGGUGGACUGCAUACGAGUGAGAAUGCCGGAAUAAGUAGCGAGAAUUAUGUGAGAAUCAUAAUGGCCGAAAAUCUAAGGUUUCUUGGGGAAGGUUCGUCCGCCCAAGGUUAGUCGGGAGCUAAGCUCAGGCCGAAAGGCGUAGGCGAUGCACAUACGGUAGAAAUUCCGUAACCACCGAACAUUUAAGCUAGAGGGACGCUUUCUUUAAGGUUAUCCCGGGCGAUGGUUGCCCCGGGCGUAAGGGACCGAAAUAUAGUAGGGAAGUAACUGGCGAGAGAGACGAGAAAAGCUCUAGUGUAUACUAAGGUGCCCGUACCGCAAACCGACACAGGUAGAUGGGAUGAGUAUUCUAAGGCCAACGGGAGAAGGGUUGUUAAGGAACUCGGCAAAUUGGCCCCGUAACUUCGGGAUAAGGGGCGCCUGCGAGAGCAGGCCGCAGUGAAAAGGCCCAAGCGACUGUUUAGCAAAAACACAGCUCUCUGCUAAAUCGAAAGAUGACGUAUAGGGGGUGACGCCUGCCCGGUGCUGGAAGGUUAAGGGGAGUGCUUAGCGCAAGCGAAGGUGCGAACUUAAGCCCCAGUAAACGGCGGCCGUAACUAUAACGGUCCUAAGGUAGCGAAAUUCCUUGUCAGGUAAGUUCUGACCCGCACGAAUGGCGUAACGA